This 264-nucleotide ribosomal RNA is filed under the name uncultured Planctomycetota bacterium. RNAcentral's name for it is "uncultured planctomycete partial 16S ribosomal RNA". It matches the Rfam family "Bacterial small subunit ribosomal RNA", at positions 565 to 827 of the family's 1533-position model. Lineage: Bacteria; Pseudomonadati; Planctomycetota. The record is from RNAcentral.
GAGCACGUAGGUGGGUUUGUAAGUCAGGUGUGAAAGCCUUCUGUCCAAAGGAAGAACGGCAUCUGAAACUGCAGAUCUUGAGUGUAGGAGGGGAGAGUGGAACUUCUGGUGGAGCGGUGAAAUGCGUAGAUAUCAGAAGGAACGUCGGCGGCGAAAGCGACUCUCUGGCCUAUUACUGACACUGAGUGUGCGAAAGUUAGGGGAGCAAACGGGAUUAGAUACCCCGGUAGUCCUAACCGUAAACGAUGGGCACUAAGUAGAGGG